GACGAACGCUGGCGGCGUGCUUAACACAUGCAAGUCGAACGGAAAGGCCCUGCUUUUUUGGCUUGCUCGAGUGGCGAACGGGUGAGUAACUCGUGCGUAACCUGCCUUUGAUUUUCUGAUAACUUCAGGUAACUGGGGCUAAUUCCUGCUUGGAGCUCCUUCUGCCUGGUGGGGGUUGGAAAGUUUCGGCGGUUGGGGAUGGAGUCUGGGCUUAUCAGCUUGUUGGUGGGGUAGUGGCUUAUCAAGGCCUUGACGGGUAGCCGGCCUGCGAGGGUGACCGGCCAGAGUGGGACUGAGAUACGGCCCAGAAUGCUGCGGGAGGCAGCAGUGGGGAAUAUUGCACAAUGGGCGGAAGCCUGAUGCAGCAACGCAGCGUGCGGGAUGACGGCCUUCGGGUUGUAACCCGCUUUCGCCUGUGACGAAGCGUGAGUGGCGGUAAUGGGUAGAGAAGCACCGGCUAACUACGUG
Molecule: ribosomal RNA, 468 nt
Filed under: uncultured bacterium
Lineage: Bacteria
Description: partial 16S ribosomal RNA
Rfam family: Bacterial small subunit ribosomal RNA
Source: RNAcentral